ACAUUUUUGGUCUACCUCUCACCAAUCACUAUCUUCUUCCUCCUCAACUGUAGCUAGCACCAUCGUUCACGUGGGUCACCGUUGACGUUGUGCUCGUCCGUUCGCCUCAGCUAUGAUUUCUUUCACAGGUUGCUGCUGUUCAUCCGCCUCUGUCACUGAUUCAAGACGUGUAAAAGAAGAGGAUCUUGAUAGAAAUUGGAAAAAAAAAUUGGAGAUUUGAAACUGUAACAGCUGAUGCUGAUCCCCCUUGACCUCUGAAGGGCAAACUAGCUACAGUGGGUGGAAAUUUUUGAUUGGUACUGUUGCUUUUAGUGUAAAUAUAUAAUUUGUAUGUCUUUUUGAUUUAAAAAAAGAGUAAAUGCUCCACAUAGAUUAUUGAUAGACUUUGUUUUAGUUUGUAUAUUGGUUGCUGGCUGGAAGGAGUUACGCUCCUGAUUUAUACUGUUGUCUGUAAAAAAUUUUAUUGUAGAAUUUUCAGGAGAUC
Molecule: long non-coding RNA, 484 nt
Organism: Prosopis cineraria
Lineage: Eukaryota; Viridiplantae; Streptophyta; Magnoliopsida; Fabales; Fabaceae
Exons: 3
Source: RefSeq, a predicted model, not a curated record